Long non-coding RNA from Microplitis mediator, 2996 nucleotides. RefSeq lists it as uncharacterized. The record is from RefSeq and is a predicted model, not a curated record. The transcript is spliced from 3 exons. NCBI's taxonomy places the organism in Eukaryota, Metazoa, Arthropoda, Insecta, Hymenoptera, Braconidae.
GCAUCCUACCACCUUUAAACAUCAACAUAUGAUGAAAACCCGAUUUUUGAAAAUCGGGGUGAAACCAAUAACUUCCCGAACUUUUUGAAAAUCGUCGAUUUUCUUAGCGGGAAGUUAAAAAAUCGUUUUUUGUUUGUAUACUUGCCGUUUUUCAGGAUUUUUUAGCCAUUUUUUGCAAUUUACUCUAAUUCUGGAGGCUUGAAGAGCUAAAUAAUCUCCAUAUUCAAAUGCAACGCAUCGAAAUACAUAAGGAACAUUCUUGAUUUAGGUCAAAAAAAGUAUGUUCGCUUGCAUAAUUGCAUUUUUUGCGAUUUUUAACCAUUUUUGGCGUUUCUCUGCAAUUUACUUUAAUUUUGGAGGCUUGAAGAGUUAAAUAAUCUCUAUAUUUGGAUUGAGCGCAUCGAAAUACAUAAGGGACAUACUUGAUUGACGUCGAAAAAAAUGUUUUCGCUUGCAUAACUGCAUUUUUUUCGCGAUUUUUAGCCAUUUUUGACGGUUUUUUACAAUUCACUCGAAAUUUUGGGGGUGUACGGGCCAAACCGACCACAAAUUUGGAUUUAGCGCAUCGAAAUAUAUACCGCUUAGUAGGUCUAGUCGAAUGUACAAACCACUUUUUUUUUUUUUGUGCGCCGGUGUAAUGAAUCAAUCGCUAACUUUACGAGAUCCAAUGAUCUUUUGGGUGAAACGAGUGACACGAUUACUGGUCAUAAAAUUCCAACCAAUAAGCAAGUUGAAAAAUUAUUUUAUUAUCACACCAGACAAUAAAAAAAAAAAUACUUGCAGCAAGUUAGUCAGUAGUCAUAGAUGAGGUGUGCAAAUUUUGGCGCAGAGCCGGAAUUCCAGUACAAAAAAACGAUCUAUGUGUAAAAAAAUUAUAAAAUCUCUACAGCACAUACAGAAAUCUGCAAAAGCUCAAAUUUGGUUCGCGAGAAAGAGUUUUUCGAAUGCCUUGAGAAAUUAUUUGAUAUAGCUCAUGGCGAUGCUCAAAAUACAGUUGAUAGUGGCACGGCAGAUUUUUUACAUGAUCAGAGGACAGAAAGAAAGUGUCACUUACGUGUUUGUAAGCAAAACGAUGAUUCUUUUGAGUCACCUAAAAAACCUGUUCUUGACGAAGACAUUGAUACCACUACAACUCAAUCUAUUGAUAACAGCGGAUCAACAUCUUAUAAUGUUUAUUUAACACUCUCUGAUGAACAUCGUCCAGAUUCAGACAUAACUUUACCAGCGAGCGCAAAAAGUACAUCUGAGAAACCUUUUAGUGGCGAAACAUCAACGUCAUUGUCUCUGCAAAGCACAUUUUCAAUGUUUGAAUCACAGGGGCGAAAUUAUGAAACGAACCAUGAGAGGAACAAUAAAUAUUCUGACAGAACAUUUUGUUGCUACUUUAGACAAUUGUAAAAUUUCUUAUAGAAAUUCCGUAAGAAUCAUAUCAGCUGUAAUGACGGCCCUGGGAGUUGAUACUGAUAAUUUAAUUCUCAACAAGAAUUUGUUUAAUGAACGUAGGUUGAAAAUUCGGAAGGAAACUGCUGAACGGAUGAAGAUGUUAUUCGGUGAUACUGACGUUAGAGCUGCGGUGGUACGUUGGGACGGAAAAUUGAUACCUGAUAGACUAUCUUGUAAAAGGGUUGACCGAGUACCUAUAAUAAUUAGAAGCAAGACUGUCGAAAAAAUAUUAAACGUACCGACAUUACCUGAUGGAAAAGGAGUAACUCAGGCUCACGAAAUUUUAAAGAACGUUAAAGAAUGGGGAUUAUCUGAAAAUAUCCAAGCAAUUUAUUGUGAUACUACUACUUUGAAUCUUGGUUGUCGAAAUGGAGUGGCAAUCAAUUUAAAAUAAAUGUUACAAAAAGAUCUUCUAUAUCUACUUUGUAGGCAUCAUAUUUACGAAUAGGUCUUGAAUUGUGUUUUUGUUACAAAAAUCCCAGGAACUGAUGGGCCAAACGUUCCUUUAUUUAAGAAAUUUCAAGAAAAUUGGAAUCUAGUUGAUCAAACUAAAUAUAAAAAUGGUCUAACAGGAAAUAAAAUUCUCAAAAAAUUGUUAAUAAAAGUUGAAAAUACAAACAAGACGAUUAAAAACUUUUGAGGUGAAAUUUUACCUCGCGAUAAUUAUAAAGAACUUUUGGAGUUGUGUCAAAUUUUUCUCGAUACGAUGGAAGAUGAUCGUGUCAAAUUUUAUAAACCAGGAGCAUUUUACCAUGCUCGCUGGAUGUCAAAAGCGAUUUAUUCACUGAGAAUAUAUAUUUUCCGGGAUAUUUUUUAAGGUAGAUUUUACAACACAACAAAGUCUUUUGGAUGUUUGUUUAUUCAUAGUAUUUGUUUACGUGCCAUUUUGGUUUACGUCACCUCUUGCAGCAUCAGCUCCAUAUCAAGACUUAAAUUUUGUGAAAACAGUAUAUCAAUACAGAACAAGUGAUAAGAAACUUUCUGAUGCAGUCUUGCACAAAUUUAAAAAUUAUUUGUGGUAUUUAAAUGCUGAAACUGCUGCUCUGAUGGCUUUUUUCGAUCCAAAUAUACCACUUUCUAUAAAACAUGAAAUGAUUAAAGCAUUUAAAUAUCAUGAAGAUUUAAAUUUUGAUUCCCCUAAACGCUGCAUAGUAAAUUCAGACAGUGAAAUUAUCAAUUUACAAAAAAAAAAUUUUGACUUUUUUAUUAAUUUUAAUUCGAGUAAGUUAUUUGAUCGAUUCAACAUAAAUAAAAAAUUUUUCGAGUUUAAUGUUGAAACAUGGUCUACCAAUAAUGAUUACUUGGAAGGUUUGAACAUCGUUAAUAAUCUGCAAGCUAUUAAUGAUGUGGCUGAAAGAGCGGUUCAAUUGAGUUAAGACUACAUCAACAUUUUGACUACUAAAGAAGAACAAAAAUAGUAUUUAGUGCAAGUUGUACGUGAAUAUAGAGAUACUUAUCCUAACGCUACAAAAAGAUGUUAAACAAAGAAAUAUGAUUAAAAACAGAAAAAAUAUAUAUCGUAACUAUUAAACUUGUUCAAUAAAAUUUUUGAA